RNAcentral lists this ribosomal RNA (253 nucleotides) under uncultured bacterium. Its description in RNAcentral is "partial 16S ribosomal RNA". It matches the Rfam family "Bacterial small subunit ribosomal RNA", at positions 524 to 776 of the family's 1533-position model. The record is from RNAcentral.
UACAGAGGUGGCGAGCGUUGUUCGGAUUUACUGGGCGUAAAGGGUGCGUAGGUGGCACCGUGUGUCGGUUGUGAAAUCCCACUGCUCAAUGGUGGAACUGCAAUCGAAACUGCGGAGCUCGAGUGUAUGAGGGGAGAGGGGAAUUCUUGGUGUAGCGGUGAAAUGCGUUGAUAUCAAGAAGAACACCGGUGGCGAAGGCGCCUCUCUGGAAUACUACUGACGCUGAGGCACGAAAGCUAGGGGAGCAAACAGG